UGGGGAAUAUUGCACAAUGGGGAAGACCCUGAUGCAGCGACGCCGCGUGAGCGAUGAAGUAUUUCGGUAUGUAAAGCUCUAUCAGCAGGGAAGAAAAUGACGGUACCUGACUAAGAAGCCCCGGCUAACUACGUGCCAGCAGCCGCGGUAAUACGUAGGGGGCAAGCGUUAUCCGGAAUUACUGGGUGUAAAGGGAGCGUAGGCGGCAAGGUAAGUAAGAUGUGAAAGCCCGCAGCUUAACUGCGAGGAUUGCAUUUUAAACUAUCGAGCUAGAGUACAGGAGAGGUAAGCGGAAUUCCUAGUGUAGCGGUGAAAUGCGUAGAUAUUAGGAAGAACACCAGUGGCGAAGGCGGCUUACUGGACUGGAGACUGACGCUGAGGCUCGAAAGCGUGGGGAGCGAACAGGAUUAGAUACCC
RNAcentral lists this ribosomal RNA (417 nucleotides) under uncultured bacterium. RNAcentral describes it as "bacterial SSU rRNA". It matches the Rfam family "Bacterial small subunit ribosomal RNA", at positions 355 to 787 of the family's 1533-position model. The record is from RNAcentral.